CGACCCUGUACAUAUAUAUAACGCAUACUGCACGCGUCUUGCACACUUCGAAGGGGAUGCACUUGAAGUAACACCGCGUCAUUGCGGAUAUAAGAGUUCUUUACUGUAUACGAAGCUACACUUGCCUGUUGAGUACACCUACACCGGAGAGAAAGUUUUGGUGUGCUGCUUUAACGUACUCCAAAGUACCGGUGCUGGAAUACAAGCUGUAGACGACACCACCGCAUUUUUCCGGAUGACAGUCUUCACGUAUGGAUGGACGUGAAGGAAAAUAUCUCUGAAACAUGUGACUUUCACC
Dermacentor albipictus is the source of this 298-nucleotide long non-coding RNA. RefSeq lists it as uncharacterized. Lineage: Eukaryota; Metazoa; Arthropoda; Arachnida; Ixodida; Ixodidae. The record is from RefSeq and is a predicted model, not a curated record.